This 199-nucleotide long non-coding RNA is filed under the name Musa acuminata (dwarf banana). RNAcentral's name for it is "long non-coding RNA (MACU_LNC000632)". The record is from RNAcentral. Lineage: Eukaryota; Viridiplantae; Streptophyta; Magnoliopsida; Zingiberales; Musaceae.
CCCAAUUGGCCCCUACUUGGGUUAUAGGAUUAACACCUAAUCCUAACCCUAAUUAACGUGCUAACUACAAAUUUAAAGACAUUUUCUAAGCUAUUACAAAGUCCAUAAGUCAAGACUUCUUCCGGCGAGCUUCCGGCGAACUUCCGACGGUCUUCCGAUAAACUCUCGGAAACCAUUCUGCGGACUCCCGACAAGCUCC